This 396-nucleotide ribosomal RNA is filed under the name uncultured bacterium. Its description in RNAcentral is "partial 16S ribosomal RNA". It matches the Rfam family "Bacterial small subunit ribosomal RNA", at positions 523 to 918 of the family's 1533-position model. The record is from RNAcentral.
AUACGUAGGUGACAAGCGUUAUCCGGAUUUACUGGGCGUAAAGGGCGUGUAGGCGGUCUUGCAAGUCAGAAGUGAAAUUCCUGAGCUCAACUCGGGCGCUGCUUCUGAAACUGCAGGACUUGAGUGCUGGAGGGGAUAGCGGAAUUCCUAGUGGAGCGGUAAAAUGCGCAGAUAUUAGGAAGAACACCGGUGGCGAAGGCGGCUAUCUGGACAGUAACUGACGCUGAGGCGCGAAGGCGUGGGGAGCAAACAGGAUUAGAUCCCCGGGUAGUCCACGCCGUAAACGAUGAAUACUAGGUGUGGGGGGACUGACCCCUUCCGUGCCGCAGCUAACGCAAUAAGUAAUCCACCUGGGGAGUACGGCCGCAAGGUUGAAACUCAAAGGAAUUGACGGGG